Molecule: long non-coding RNA, 382 nt
Organism: Spea bombifrons (plains spadefoot toad)
Lineage: Eukaryota; Metazoa; Chordata; Amphibia; Anura; Pelobatidae
Exons: 2
Source: RefSeq, a predicted model, not a curated record
GAUUUCAAGAUACAGAAUUACAAUAAAAUCAUUUCGUUUUUGCAAGAAUUCCAUGCAAAUGCAAAAAUGUAAUACAAACUGUAUGUAGUCAAUUUAUUUAAAGUUCUUGAAGUUCUCCCUUGUCUCCUCGCCAAGCCAAUCUAUACCAUCAGCAACUUAAAUAUAUAUAUAUAUAUCCUAAUUAUUGAAUUAAGGUGUUUUCUACAUAACAUCAAGCUCAUAGGCAUACAAUCUCUGUAGACAAACAUUGACUGUAGAAUGGAUAAUACUGCUCACUGCAUCACUCUCUACAGAAUUUUCAUUGACAUGGAUGCAACUAUAUUGUUUGUUUUGAUAUGGUGAUUUGAAAGAAAUUGCAGCACUGAAUAAAAUAAAAAUAAAA